UUUAUGGAGAGUUUGAUCCUGGCUCAGGAUGAACGCUGGCGGCGUGCCUAAUACAUGCAAGUCGAGCGAACGGACGAGAAGCUUGCUUCUCUGAUGUUAGCGGCGGACGGGUGAGUAACACGUGGAUAACCUACCUAUAAGACUGGGAUAACUUCGGGAAACCGGAGCUAAUACCGGAUGAUAUUUUGAACCGCAUGGU
Molecule: ribosomal RNA, 199 nt
Filed under: Staphylococcus aureus
Lineage: Bacteria; Bacillati; Bacillota; Bacilli; Caryophanales; Staphylococcaceae
Description: partial 16S ribosomal RNA
Rfam family: Bacterial small subunit ribosomal RNA
Source: RNAcentral